Molecule: long non-coding RNA, 371 nt
Organism: Amphimedon queenslandica
Lineage: Eukaryota; Metazoa; Porifera; Demospongiae; Haplosclerida; Niphatidae
Exons: 3
Source: RefSeq, a predicted model, not a curated record
AUAUUUCCAUAUGAAAGGUGGUGGUGGUGUAACCAUUACAAAGAAUUAAGUAUCAGAUGUGAAUAUUCUUGUGUUGAAAAUAAAAUAGAACUAUAUGGUGGCCCUUCUAAUUGUCAUGGUAAUGUAAGAGUCUGUGUCAAUGGUUUAUGGGUUAUGGUGUGUGGAUACGGUAAUACUGUCAUUGAUAAUAAUCUAGCUAGUGUUGUCUGUUCCAGCAUUGGAUACUCAGCUUAUGGUGCUAAAAGUGCUAUAGGACUGUGGAAAAAGAAUUAUUACUAUCCAUAUCAGUUUUAUGAUGUACAGUGUUAUGGAAAUGAGAGCAGCUUAUUUGACUGUCAGUAUAACACUACAGGAUCAUGUCCUAAUGUGAA